GUAUUUUAUUUUGGUGGUAUUAGAUAAUAAAUUUUGAUGUGAAACGUUGUUGAGAAAUAUUUAAGGAAUGGAAGAAAAUUAAAUUAAUAUUGAUUUUUUUUAUUAAAUUUCGAAAAACUUGAAAAGGUAUGUAAAUAUAAUUGUUUGUGCUAUUAUAUCAGCAGAUGGAGCCUGGUCUAGUGGUUGUUGUGUGUGCAUGGGAGGGAUGUGUGCUUGGUCUUAAGUUCUAACCUUCCCAAGACCAAAAAGGCUCCUAGCUAUUUUUACUUUCCACCUUGUCAUGUGGGUCCCACCAUGAGGUAAGAAAGAGAGAACUAAAACUUCUCUUAGAGGGAGAGCACUUUCACGUUAAUUUCUCUUCAUUUUUGCAUGGGGUGGGCCACAUGAAUUCUAGACCUAGGAUGCUUGUANGUGACCUUGGAGUUUCUUGGAGAGGUUAAACAUUUCAUUAAAAAUGGUAGGCUCCAUAAAUGGGUAUUAUAGGGGCAUUUAAACACACUUUAAACCUACCAUUUACACACAUUAAAGAGAGGUUUUAUGGGUGUUAGUGUGGAGUUAGGAAUGGGAAAAAUCUGAAAUGGUCUAAGGAUGCCCUUGGUAGUGACCUUGAGUGGGGGAUUAAGGGUUAGAAAGGUUUAGGUUUGAUUUUAUUUAAGUGUGUAAUUUUAAGUUAGUUAGGGGGUAUUAAAAACUUGGUGAGAGAGUAGAAAAGAAGUGAAAGCCGUAAGUUGAGUGAGAGAAACAUUUCUUGGUGAGAAACAACCAAGUUGGUGAGAGAAAGAAAGUACUCAACCUAGCUUUGAAGUUGGAAAUUUGAAGGGAACCUAGAAGGGUGAAGGGCUUGGAGUCUAAAGAAGGAAAGAAACCUAAGAACCUUGGAGACUAGCUUGGAACUAGAGGUAAGGGGUUUAACUUGGGAUAUAAUAUGGUGUNUGAUGGGUAGAAGGUAACAUGAUAAUAUUGAUGCAUGCUUUCUUUCUUUUGUGUUGAGAUUAAAGUUAAUAUGUUGAUGCAUGUUCUCUCUUUUUGUGUUUAGUUUCAUGUGUUGUUGUAUGGAGAGUGAUUAUUUUCAUGCAUUUUCAAAAUGGGGUUGUGAAGGGGUAUACUUUGGGUUGUAUAUAUAUAUAGUGAUUUUCGUUUUUUUUUGUAGUUAUGGGUAUACCUUGAUCUUUAUAUGUUGGUUUUUCAAAAAGUGUUGUUGUUAAAAUGGGUAUACAUGUUUUGGGCACUUUGGGGUGAUGUAUGUGUAUGAAAA
RNAcentral lists this long non-coding RNA (1255 nucleotides) under Vigna radiata. Its description in RNAcentral is "long non-coding RNA (VRAD_LNC016661)". Lineage: Eukaryota; Viridiplantae; Streptophyta; Magnoliopsida; Fabales; Fabaceae. The record is from RNAcentral.